Molecule: ribosomal RNA, 164 nt
Filed under: Goeppertia metallica
Lineage: Eukaryota; Viridiplantae; Streptophyta; Magnoliopsida; Zingiberales; Marantaceae
Description: 5.8S ribosomal RNA
Rfam family: 5.8S ribosomal RNA
About the family: 5.8S ribosomal RNA (5.8S rRNA) is a component of the large subunit of the eukaryotic ribosome. It is transcribed by RNA polymerase I as part of the 45S precursor that also contains 18S and 28S rRNA.
Source: RNAcentral
CGAACGACUCUCGGCAACGGAUAUCUCGGCCCUCGCAUCGAUGAAGAACGUAGCAAAAUGCGAUACGUGGUGUGAAUUGCAGAAUCCCGCGAACCAUUGAGUCUUUGAACGCAAGUUGCGCCCGAGGCUUUCCCGCCGAGGGCACGCCUGCCUGGGCGUCACGA